CUAGUAGGCCUCUGCCUCAACAUUCAAGCAGGCAAUGUGCCACACACCACAUUAUCAUUCAGUUCAACACAGAUAUUUGUACAGUUCAUAGUGUUUCUCGAGUCGAGAUAAAUAAACUCCAAAAAAUUCGGUCCUAUUUUCGUGUCUAGCUUGAAAAGUAAGCAACGAAAUUUAGCAAUAAUUUUGGGAAAAAUAAAUAAUACAAAAUGGAACUAUAUUUUCAGGUCAGAGCUCCAGUUGAAGCAACGAAAAAUGUGCAACUAUCCUUGCUAUCCCUCUGCUGCCCUGUGCCCUUGCGGCGGUUGUGGUCCCAGCGGCUUUUACGAUCCCUGCUUUGGCCCCUUCAAUGGUCCCUUCAAUUCGUGCUGUGGCCCCAGUGGUACCCAAUGCUGGAGAGGAUGCACUUUUUACUAGAAGUGGUGGGACCUCAAACUCAACUAGAGCACUGCCUUGUCUUGCUAACAGAAGAAAAUCAGGAAUAGAAUUGGUUGUUCUGACAACAGCUUGAUCAACUUUCAGAAACGACUCGCCAGACAUCCGAAAACAGUUUUUUGUGUUUAUUAAUAUGAUUGUAAAUAAUAUCUAAUGCAAUAAAUUGUUUCACUAAACUGUGGACAAUAUAUAACAAAAUAUUCA
RNAcentral lists this long non-coding RNA (636 nucleotides) under Drosophila guanche. The record is from RNAcentral. Lineage: Eukaryota; Metazoa; Arthropoda; Insecta; Diptera; Drosophilidae.